This 259-nucleotide ribosomal RNA is filed under the name uncultured prokaryote. RNAcentral describes it as "partial 16S ribosomal RNA". It matches the Rfam family "Bacterial small subunit ribosomal RNA", at positions 524 to 780 of the family's 1533-position model. The record is from RNAcentral.
UACGGAGGAUGCAAGCGUUAUCCGGAUUUAUUGGGUUUAAAGGGUGCGCAGGUUGUUUGUAUAAGUCAGUGGUGAAAGUCUGUCGCUUAACGGUAGGAUUGCCAUUGAUACUGUUAGACUUGAAUAUGGAUGAGGUAGGCGGAAUGUGUAGUGUAGCGGUGAAAUGCAUAGAUAUUACACAGAACACCGGUUGCGAAGGCAGCUUACUAAUCCAUCAUUGACGCUGAGGCACGAAAGCGUGGGGAGUCAAACAGGAUUA